RNAcentral lists this ribosomal RNA (498 nucleotides) under swine fecal bacterium FPC21. RNAcentral describes it as "bacterial SSU rRNA". It matches the Rfam family "Bacterial small subunit ribosomal RNA", at positions 7 to 498 of the family's 1533-position model. The record is from RNAcentral.
GAGAGUUUGAUCCUGGCUCAGGAUGAACGCUGGCGGCGUGCCUAAUACAUGCAAGUCGAACGAAUCUUCUUCGGAAGAUGAGUGGCGAACGGGUGAGUAAUACAUAGGUAACCUGCCCCUGUGCGGGGGAUAACAGGAGGAAACUCCUGCUAAUACCGCAUAGCCAUGAGCACCGCAUGGAGCUCAUGCCAAAUAUCCUUUAUGGGAUAGCGCAAGGAUGGACCUAUGGCGCAUUAGCUUGUUGGCGGGGCAACGGCCCACCAAGGCAACGAUGCGUAGCCGGCCUGAGAGGGCGGACGGCCACAUUGGGACUGAGACACGGCCCAGACUCCUACGGGAGGCAGCAGUAGGGAAUUUUCGGCAAUGGGGGAAACCUUGACCGAGCAACGCCGCGUGAGCGAAGAAGGCCUUCGGGUCGUAAAGCUCUGUUGUAAAGGAAGAACGUCGCAUGCAGGAAAUGGUGUGCGAGUGACGGUACUUUACCAGAAAGCCACGGCU